CGGCGAGCGAAAAGAAAUCAGUUCAGCACUAAGUCACUUUGUCUUUAUGGCAAAUGUGAGAUGCAGUGUAUGGAAUGUCAAAUUUCUAGUAUGAGAAAUUAACGAUUUAAGUCCUUCUUAAAUGAGGCCAUUUACCCAUAGAGGGUGCCAGGCCCGUAUAACGUUAAUGAUUACUAGAUGGCAUUUCCAAAGAGUCGUGUUGCUUGAUAGUGCAGCACUAAGUGGGUGGUAAACUCCAUCUAAAACUAAAUAUAACCAUGAGACCGAUAGUAAACAAGUACCGUGAGGGAAAGUUGAAAAGAACUCUGAAUAGAGAGUUAAAUAGUACGUGAAACUGCUUAGAGGUUAAGCCCGAUGAACCUGAAUAUCCAUUAUAGAAAAUUCAUCAUUAUGAUUUUAAUAUUUAUAAUAUUAUAAUAAUGGUGUGCAUUUUUUCUAUAACGGACAUUGUAAUCUAUUAACAUAAAUAUAUUUAUCAUAAGAUCAAUGAUGCGUAAGUUUAUUCAAAUUAUUUUGCUUGCAAUUUAACAUAGAAUAAAUGCUCUUGAUUUGAUAAAGUGUUGAUAGAUUUAUUGUAUAUAGUGCUUAAAUAUUUAUAUUUUAUAAUAGCAUAUUAAUCAUUGAUUUUUAUGUUUAUUAUAUGCACUUAUAUGAUUAACAAUGCGAAAGAUUCAGGAUACCUUCGGGACCCGUCUUGAAACACGGACCAAGGAGUCUAACAUAUUUGCAAGUUAUUGGGUAUCAAAACCUAAUAGCGAAAUUAACAUAACUUUAAUGGGAUUAGUUUUUAGAUUAUUUAUAGUCUAUUAAUUCAAUCCCGGGGCGUUCUAUAUAGUUAUGUAUAAUAAUAUUUAUAUUAUUUAUACCUCUAACUAGAGCGUACCUUGAGCAUAUAUGCUGUGACCCGAAAGAUGGUGAACUAUACUUGAUCAGGUUGAAGUCAGGGGAAACCCUGAUGGAAGACCGAAACAGUUCUGACGUGCAAAUCGAUUGUCAGAAUUGAG
RNAcentral lists this ribosomal RNA (1004 nucleotides) under Sarcophaga portschinskyi. Its description in RNAcentral is "eukaryotic LSU rRNA". It matches the Rfam family "Eukaryotic large subunit ribosomal RNA", at positions 87 to 915 of the family's 3401-position model. The record is from RNAcentral. Lineage: Eukaryota; Metazoa; Arthropoda; Insecta; Diptera; Sarcophagidae.